CCAGAGAACUUAGCAGAGAUGCUUUGGUGCCUUCGGGAACUCUGAGACAGGUGCUGCAUGGCUGUCGUCAGCUCGUGUUGUGAAAUGUUGGGUUAAGUCCCGCAACGAGCGCAACCCUUAUCCUUUGUGCCAGCGGCUCGGCCGGGAACUCAAAGGAGACUGCCGGUGAUAAACCGGAGGAAGGUGGGGAUGACGUCAAGUCAUCAUGGCCCUUACGGCCAGGGCUACACACGUGCUACAAUGGCGCAUACAAAGAGAAGCGACCUCGCGAGAGCAAGCGGACCUCAUAAAGUGCGUCGUAGUCCGGAUUGGAGUCUGCAACUCGACUCCAUGAAGUCGGAAUCGCUAGUAAUCGUAGAUCAGAAUGCUACGGUGAAUACGUUCCCGGGCCUUGUACACACCGCCCGUCACACCAUGGGAGUGGGUUGCAAAAGAAGUAGGUAGCUUAACCUUCGGGAGGGCGCUUACCACUUUGUGAUUCAUGACUGGGGUGAAGUCGUAACAAGGUAGGCGUAGAUGA
RNAcentral lists this ribosomal RNA (520 nucleotides) under uncultured bacterium. RNAcentral's name for it is "bacterial SSU rRNA". It matches the Rfam family "Bacterial small subunit ribosomal RNA", at positions 988 to 1509 of the family's 1533-position model. The record is from RNAcentral.